Molecule: ribosomal RNA, 425 nt
Filed under: uncultured bacterium
Lineage: Bacteria
Description: bacterial SSU rRNA
Rfam family: Bacterial small subunit ribosomal RNA
Source: RNAcentral
GUGGGGAAUAUUGCGCAAUGGGGGAAACCCUGACGCAGCGACGCCGCGUGGAGGAUGAAGGUCUUCGGGUUGUAAACUCCUUUUCUUGGGGAAAAUGAUGAUGGUACCCAAGGAAUAAGCCACGGCUAACUCUGUGCCAGCAGCCGCGGUAAGACAGAGGUGGCAAGCGUUGUUCGGAAUUACUGGGCUUAAAGGGCGUGUAGGCGGUGAGGAAAGUUCGAGGUGGAAUCCUUUGGCUCAACCAGAGAAUUGCCUUGGAUACUUCUUCACUUGAGUGAGCGAGGGGAGAGCGGAAUUCCCGGUGUAGCGGUGAAAUGCGUAGAUAUCGGGAGGAAGGCCUGUGGCGAAGGCGGCUCUCUGGUGCUCAACUGACGCUGAGGCGCGAAAGCGUGGGGAGCAAACAGGAUUAGAUACCCCUGUAGUCC